Molecule: long non-coding RNA, 1644 nt
Organism: Paramisgurnus dabryanus
Lineage: Eukaryota; Metazoa; Chordata; Actinopteri; Cypriniformes; Cobitidae
Source: RefSeq, a predicted model, not a curated record
GGAGAAGAAGUGCCAAAAACAAGACAACAAAUUUCAUUGCAGCAGCAGAUCAAUCUUAAAACUGGUUCAACAUUUACAUUUGACUAUCUGAUCGUUAGAAAAUAACAAGGCAAUCUAAGGCAAUACGUCUCGAUUUCACCUUGGCGGUGCGAGUAUUUAUAGACUGAUGAAUGGACCUAAAAAAAUAAAUAUUCUGGCCUGGAAUGGGAGCCGGUUCAAUUCUGGGAUACUUAUUUGGGAAUCAGAGACGCCAGCCACACAUGGGACCAUCUUACACCACAGGACCCUCUUACAACAGCAGACCUUCCCCAAAACCAAAAACAAGUUCAGGGACACGCACUGCAUCACGUUUCGGAGGAACUAAAAAAAGAUGAUUGAAGAUGAGAUGUACAGAGGACUUAGAGCGCCACUUUUAAAUAAAAUGAGAAAUACAUUUUUCAAUUUAAUAAAUCAAACAUAUAAAUGUAAUAUCUGAACUCCAUUAGUUCAAGUUUUUUCAUGCUAAGGUUAAAGUGAAAAUUAUGCGUCUCCUUGAUACCAAUGACAAAUGGCAUUUUCGUUUGGUUUUAAUUAUAAUACACAAAGACGACACACAAAAGUAAAAUGUGUUGUAAAUGAAUGUUGAAUUGAAGACCAUCUAUAGAUUAUACCAAUGCACAUAUUGACAAAAAUUGCCAGCAUACGGCCCAUAUUUGUAUCCAAUCAGCUACCCUCUAGAAUAAAAAUGCCCCCCCCAUCAUCUGCAGUUCACUGGAAAAUAGCUAAAUUAUUGUUGUUACUGGAUUGUGAUUUAACCAUGGAUUGUAUUGUUUUGUGUGGUUCUUUUUCUGUUUUAUUUUAUUUAGAGGAUUGAUAAUUGAAUUGAUAAUAUAUUUGGCUUUUGUGGUGAAGCCUUAUAUUUAUGAUCCUUGAUAAUUUGAUUGCUGAAAUGAAUUGUGACCAAAUUGGGUAACUUUCAUAUAACUCCAUCAAGUGGCCUAUACUGGGAUGUCUUGUUCAUACUGGUUCACUGCCAUGCAUAAGAUAAAAGCACACCAAUCAGCAGUCAUGUCAUAUUUUGUUUUUGAUAGUAGUGUAAUAAACUGAAAAAUAAAUAAGAUGUGUGUGACAUUGUGUGCCUGCACCUGCAUUUAUUUACAUCCUCUAUUUGUGUGUUUGAUUUGUUUAAAACAUAAUUUCCACUUUCACAAUACAAAAUCUUUAUUGUUUUGUGUUAGUACAAGUAUGCAAUGCAACAGAUGGUUGUCAUGUAUUUAAUUUAUGGAUUUAUUCGUCUUUUCAUUCAUAAUUUUUUCCUUUUAAGAUGGUAACAUUUGGGAGACAUUGCUUUUCCCCACUUUCACCAGCAGAGGUCCUUGUAGAACUUGGAUUUGAAAAACUUUGAGUAAUGAAUCUUAAUGCAAUUGUGCAAAAUUGUGGUUCACUUCACCAUCACUACUUUAAACUAUCACAUGGUCUUUAAAUGACAUGCAAGUUCUUUGCUAUAAUUAGAAAUAAGACUGUACUAUAAUGAUUAAAGUGUAUAGCUCACAUGAUGUGAAAGAAUGCAAACUUACUGUAUGGAGAGGGUCAUUUAAGGAAUAAACUUUUAAAUGGCUUUAUUUCCUAUUGUUCUGAUGAUAAUAAAGCACUUAUUUUGGAGAA